This 253-nucleotide ribosomal RNA is filed under the name uncultured bacterium. RNAcentral describes it as "partial 16S ribosomal RNA". It matches the Rfam family "Bacterial small subunit ribosomal RNA", at positions 524 to 776 of the family's 1533-position model. The record is from RNAcentral.
UACGAAGGGGGCUAGCGUUGUUCGGAUUUACUGGGCGUAAAGCGCACGUAGGCGGAUCGUUAAGUCGGGGGUGAAAUCCUGGAGCUCAACUCCAGAACUGCCUUCGAUACUGGCGAUCUUGAGUCCGGAAGAGGUGAGUGGAACUCCUAGUGUAGAGGUGGAAUUCGUAGAUAUCGGGAGGAACACCGGUGGCGAAGGCGGCGAUCUGGGUCGAUACUGACGCUGAGGUGCGAAAGCGUGGGGAGCAAACAGG